RNAcentral lists this ribosomal RNA (253 nucleotides) under uncultured bacterium. RNAcentral describes it as "partial 16S ribosomal RNA". It matches the Rfam family "Bacterial small subunit ribosomal RNA", at positions 524 to 776 of the family's 1533-position model. The record is from RNAcentral.
UACGUAGGGUGCAAGCGUUAAUCGGAAUUACUGGGCGUAAAGGGCGCGUAGGCGGCACGGCAAGUCAGGAGUGAAAGCCCUGGGCUCAACCCGGGAACUGCUUUUGAAACUGCCGAGCUAGAGUGCGGAAGGGGCAACUGGAAUUCCCAGUGUAGCGGUGAAAUGCGUAGAUAUUGGGAAGAACACCUGAGGCGAAGGCGGGUUGCUGGGUCGACACUGACGCUGAGACGCGAAAGCGUGGGGAGCAAACAGG